CUACGUGCCAGCAGCCGCGGUAAUACGGAGGGUGCGAGCGUUAAUCGGAAUAACUGGGCGUAAAGGGCACGCAGGCGGUGACUUAAGUGAGGUGUGAAAGCCCCGGGCUUAACCUGGGAAUUGCAUUUCAUACUGGGUCGCUAGAGUACUUUAGGGAGGGGUAGAAUUCCACGUGUAGCGGUGAAAUGCGUAGAGAUGUGGAGGAAUACUGAAGGCGAAGGCAGCCCCUUGGGAAUGUACUGACGCUCAUGUGCGAAAGCAUGGGGAGCAAACAGGAUUAGAUACCCUGGUAGUCCAUGCCGUAAACGUUGGGCACUAGGUGUGGGGGACAUUCCACGUUUUCCGCGCCGUAGCUAACGCAUUAAGUGCCCCGCCUGGGGAGUACGGCCGCAAGGCUAAAACUCAAAGAAAUUGACGGGGGCCCGCACAAGCGGCGGAGCAUGCGGAUUAAUUCGACGCAACGCGAAGAACCUUACCAGGUCUU
This 484-nucleotide ribosomal RNA is filed under the name uncultured bacterium. Its description in RNAcentral is "bacterial SSU rRNA". It matches the Rfam family "Bacterial small subunit ribosomal RNA", at positions 501 to 982 of the family's 1533-position model. The record is from RNAcentral.